CUAGGGCAACCUCUCCCCUCUCCUCUUCCCCCCUUUCUCUCUUCAAAACAUGCCUCUUCUCUCCGAUCGCCAUUCACCCUCCCUCCAUUUCUCUCUCACUCUCCUCCACCGCCGCCUUCGCCACUUCUUCUUCUCAUCACUAGCAUAGCCGCUUCACUGCUUCACUUCGCUUCCGAUCACGACCGGUAUGGUGCUGGUCUCCAAUAUCGACGGCGGAAGUCAGGUAGUCUCGCUUCGGGUUCGGAAGACCAUCCACUCCAUCAGGGAAGUCGUCGGGAACCACUCCAAUGCCGCUAUCUACGCCGUGCUGAAGGAGACCAACAUGGAGCCCAACGAGACCGUGCAGAAACUGCUCAACCAAGAUCCAUUUCAUGAGGUGAAGAGAAGGGACAGGAAGAAAGAGGCUCAGCACACAGGUUACAGAGGUUUCGCUGAUACUAGAAAGCAAGUGGAGCAGAACAUACCAUCGGGAAAACUAUAUAGAUUGUGGAAUCAAAAUUCUCAUAGAGGAGGGUUUACUCGGAAUUUGGUUCCUGAUGCAGGAAUCAGUCGCGAAUUCCGCAUCGUAAGGGACAACAGAGUGAGCCAAAAUGUUAAUAAGGAUGCUUUGCAAGAAGAAAAGAAGCAAUUAGUUCCUGGCAAUGAGCAAACUAUGCCAGAUGUUCCAGAGAAGAGCUCUACCAGAGUUCCCUCUGAUCAAAAGCACUCUGUUUCUGCAAAUUCAGACGAGUGUCUUAUAUCAGCAUAUUUUGAUGAGUCCAGUCAUGUACCUGAUUAUGUACAAGAUGAAAAGUCAAGUGGUACAAAAAGUCCAUCACAACAGGACAAGUGUGAAGCAAUAGCAUCCGUUGUACAGAAUGAAACACAGACUUCAGGGUUACCAAAUAGCUUUAUUGGGAUGUCCUCUUCAUCUUCAGAUCCAGUUCAUGUUCCAUCUCUUGAUUCUGCAUCAGCUGGUAAAGUGGGGGCUAUUCAGCGCGAAGUUGGAGUAGUUGGCUUUCGAAGACAGACUUCUGAUCAUCCUGAAAAUCGUUCAUCUGUUUCAAAUAGCUUCCUCUCAAGUUCUUUAUCAGGAAAGAAUAUUUGUUUCUCAGUGGAAUCAACUGGACAUCAGGCUUACACAUCUAAGAGUCAUUCACUAAACCAAAUUUCUCCAUCAGCCGCCAAUCUGUAUAGCACGUCCUUAAGCAUACAAUCACAGGGUUUCUACCACAAUAGCAGAUUACACCAACAGUCUCUGAGUCAGCAGAAAGCUGUUCAGCCCAUCAUGAAGUGGAAGCCUAAAACUAGACCAAAACCCAAUAUUGUCAACAAUGGUGUGCCUGGAAUUACUUCAGCUUCUCCAUCUUGUGCUGUUAGUUCUUGUGUCUCACGACCAGUGGGAAAAACCAGAUCUGAGAAAUUGUCACAAGAUUGUAGUUUGGAUAGUCAACAUGUGAUCAUACCACAGCAUCUUCUAGUGCCACAGUCAGAGUGCAUGCAGCUGAUAUUUGGAAGUUUUGGUACUGGGUUUGACACAUCCAAGGGGUUUGCCUCUGUUCCUCAUCAAUCAGGAAGUGCAGAGCAGUUGGAUGACGAACCUUCUGACAGUAUGUUUGCACCAGUUCCAGUGGAAAAUGUAAUUUCUGCAGUUUGCAGGGACAGUCUGCAUGAUCAGUCUAGUACUUCGCCAUGUGGCUCUUCUGUGUCAGCUGCAGAAUCACAGGAGCCACCACCUGAAAAUAAUGGUUGUGUAAGUCCUCAAACUAUUCAGACUUAUGAUGAUAUUAGAUUGGUGGAGAGCAACAGCCCUCCUUUCAAUACACAGGAAGAGCAGCAGCUACAAAAUCCUCAUAGCUUGCCAAGUUUCUCGGCAUAUGACAACCAAAGUAGUUAUGAUGUCCCAUUUUUCAAAACAGUAAUGCAAGAUAAUGUACAUGCUCAAGGUUCAACUUCAUCAUCAGAGCAGGUCUUGAGUUUUCAUGCCGCCUGUAGCAGUUUUUCUAGUUUGGCCAUGGCACAGCAGCAACAACUUGUUCAGCAGCAGCAGCCGAUUGUGCAGCUGUACCCACAAAUUCAUAUGCCCCAUUUUCCAAACUUUGUGCCUUAUCGUCACAUUAUUUCUCCAGUUUAUGUUCCACAAAUGGCCAUGCCAAACUAUGCCAGCAACCCUGGGUAUCCUCAUCCCUCCACUGUGAAUAGUUAUGUUCUGAUGCCUGGAGGAAGCCCACACAUACUGGCAAGCAAGUGUGCAACCACACAGUAUAAACCAAUUGCUGCUGGCAACCCAACCGGGUGUGGAACCUACACCAAUCCUGCUAGUUUUGCCAUCAGUUUCCCUGGUGCUGUCAGUAACACAACAAGCCAAGAAGACUUGAACAGUGUCAAAUACAAAGACAACAAUGUCUUUGUUCCAAACCCACAGUUGGACACAUCUGAUAACUGGAUUCUGACGUCACGAGAGCUUCCAAACUUACAGUCAGCACCAUAUUAUAGCCUAUCAGGGCAAGCACCACAAUCAGCAUUCUUGCCUGCCCAUGCUGAUCAUGCUGCUUUUAAUGCCACACGAAAUACUUCUCAUGUGCAGUACCCAGGCUUGUACCCUCAACCUCAGCCAACCUCCAUGGUGAAUUCACAUCACUUGCUGCAGCAGCAGGUCCCACCAGCCAUAGGUGGGAGUCUUGGACUCGGCAUCGCAUCUCCUGGGCCACAGGCCAUGGUGAACAAGCUUUGGUAAUUAGACGACGAGACUUACCCUAUCAUACUUUGUGAAGCAAAGAUGGAAAAAGUUUGCAUGUGCAUCAGAAUCAUAGUUUUUGAGUGUGUGGGUUUCAGGACAGAAGAAUGAUGCAGAUGGAGGACACAAAUAAAGAGGACAGUGACAGACUUAAUUAGUUUGUCCAACUAAUUACUGCUGCAAAAAAAAACAUAUUAUUUGCAAGGAGACACUGUGAGGGACAAAACAUAAUAUGUUUGGUCCAUCAAACACUUGUCAGAACUCUUCUGUGUAGUAUCUGACAUCAGUACAUUGAUGAAAUUGUAAUGACUGUUUGAGCUUUUUAGAGGGACAGAGAUUCCUUCAAAUGUGUUACCGGUGAUUUC
RNA transcript from Musa acuminata AAA Group (dessert banana), 3081 nucleotides. RefSeq lists it as uncharacterized. Lineage: Eukaryota; Viridiplantae; Streptophyta; Magnoliopsida; Zingiberales; Musaceae. The transcript has 13 exons. The record is from RefSeq and is a predicted model, not a curated record.